RNAcentral lists this small RNA (156 nucleotides) under Climacostomum virens. RNAcentral's name for it is "partial Betaproteobacteria transfer-messenger RNA". The record is from RNAcentral. Lineage: Eukaryota; Ciliophora; Heterotrichea; Heterotrichida; Climacostomidae.
CCACCCUGAUCUACUUCUUCAUGUGCUUCGAGCAGUUGUCAGUAAGCCCUAGGCAGAUUGUGCUCUUUCUUGUGAUCUUCAAGCCUAUGAAGCGCAAGCUCGACAGCCUCACUUGUAUCGUGGCAGAGUGCGUCUUGUUUGUCGUAGUUGCUUACC